Molecule: ribosomal RNA, 247 nt
Filed under: uncultured bacterium
Lineage: Bacteria
Description: partial 16S ribosomal RNA
Rfam family: Bacterial small subunit ribosomal RNA
Source: RNAcentral
CACGCCGUAAACGAUGAGAACUCGCUGUAGAAGGUAUCGACCCCUUCUGUGGCUAAGCUAACGCGUUAAGUUCUCCGCCUGGGUAGUACGGUCGCAAGAUUAAAACUCAAAGGAAUAGACGGGGACCCACACAAGCGGUGGAGCAUGUUGUUUAAUUCGACGGUAAGCGAGUAACCUUACCUAGGCUUGACAUCCAGAGAAUCCCGGAGAAAUUUGGGAGUGCCGCAAGGAACUCUGAGACAGGUGC